Durio zibethinus is the source of this 3836-nucleotide RNA transcript. It is a transcript of the gene named putative disease resistance protein RGA1, with no coding region annotated. The record is from RefSeq and is a predicted model, not a curated record. Lineage: Eukaryota; Viridiplantae; Streptophyta; Magnoliopsida; Malvales; Malvaceae.
UUAUAGAACUUUGCGUGCACAGAAAGAAGAUCCAAAAGAAGGAAUAAUGUGAUAAACAGCAGCCAAAUUACAAAUUCCCAAGUGUACCUUCACCAGCAAACAAAAACCCCAAUUUCAGCCUGCCUUCAUACUUUUUUUUUUCCUCUUUUCUCAGGGUUUUUCCUCCUAUAAAAUAAUUUGGAGUGGUCUUUGGUACUGUUUGAUCAGUCUGAAGAAAAAAGCAAUGGCGAAAUUAAUUGUUUCAGCAGUUCUGGAGAAGUUGGGUUCCUUGAUAAUGAUACCCGAAGAGAUAAAACACAAAGUUCGGGUGGCUCUGGUUCUUGAAGAAGAAAUCCAAAAAAUGGCCGCCAAUUUUCAGGAUAUUCAAUCGCUUCUUCAAGACGCAGAAGCAAAACAGCUAAAGGAUGCCAAUGUGAGAAAUUGGUUAAAGAAACUCAAAGAUGUAGCCUAUGACGUUGAUGAUGUGUUGGAUGAGUGGAAUACAGCAAAACUCCAGUCACAACUGGAGAAAGAACAAAAAGAAGUUGAAGAUUUUCCCUUGCUUAAGAAGAUACGCUACUCUAUCUCUUUUUUUACCUCUCGAAGUUUUCUAUACUAUAAUGUUGCUUCAAAGAUAAAAGACUUGAAUAAACGACUUGAGUGUAUAGAUACUGACAAAGAUAGGUAUAAAUUUGGGUUAGAGAAGGAAGUUGAAGAACCCGAAAGGCAAAUAACUUCCUCUUUCAUAGAUGAAGAAGAAGUUUAUGGUAGGUGUCAGGAGAAAACAAUUCUAGUGAACAUGUUGGUGGGAGAGAAUAGUAAUGGAGGAGGUUCGAGCUUGCAAAUCAUCUCUCUAGUAGGGAUGGGAGGAAUCGGAAAAACGACACUUGCUCAACUGGUUUACAAUCACAAUGAGGUUGAAUGUUAUUUUGACAAGAGAAUAUGGAUUUGUGUCUCAGAUCCUUUUGAUGAGAUAAGGAUUGCCAAAGAGAUCCUUGAAGCGUUUAAAGGCGAAGCUGUGAAUUUAGUUGGAAAGAAUUACAUUUUGCAGCAAAUUCGUAGUCAUGUUUUGGGGAAGAAAAUACUCCUUGUGUUGGAUGAUGUGUGGACUGAAGAUGCUACAAAAUGGGAGCAAUUGAAAAUUUCCCUCAAGUAUUGCUCUCAUGGGAGCAGAGUAUUGAUAACCACUCGUAAGGAAAGAGUUGCCAUAAUUAUGGGAACAACGACAGCAAAGGUAUUUUCAUUACAUGCCUUGUCUCAGGAGGAAUGUUGGUCAUUACUUAGCCAUAGAGCAUUCCAUGGGAGGACAAGAGAUGAGUGUGAUAAUUUAGCAGAUAUUGGCAGGAAAAUUGCAGAAAAGUGUCAGGGCUUGCCACUUGCUGCAAAGAUUCUAGGUGGUCUGCUGCGAUUCAAAAGAACUAGAGAACAAUGGCAAAGCAUCUUGGAUAGCGAAAUAUGGAGCCUUGAAGAGGCUGAACGAGAUCUUUUCCCUCCCUUAUUUUUGAGUUAUUACGAGUUACCUUGGGCUCUUAAGCAGUGCUUUUCAUAUUGCUCUGUUUUUCCCAAAGAUAAGAUCUUAAACAAAGAUGAAUUGAUCAAGUUGUGGAUGGCACAAGAUUACCUGAAGGGAGUGCAAUGCGAAGAGAUGGAGACUGUCGGUGAGGAAUAUUUUGAUGAGCUAAUGAUGCGUUCUUUUUUUCAUGAUUUUAAAAGGUCUGAACUUCACAGUGGUAUUAAGGAAUUCAAAAUGCAUGACAUCGUACAUGAUUUUGCUCAACUUUUAAUGGAAGCCGAAUGUUUGAUGCUACUAAAUGAUGGUUUUGAAGAGCAGAGUAUAGACUUUUUUGAAAAGGCUCGCCACGUAACAUUGAUUCGUAAAGAAGCUGUACCAAUAGUCCCUCAAAUUUACCAUUUAAAAAAGUUGCGUAGCCUCCUUAUUGACUCAAGCAAUCAUGAUACUUCAUCACUAAGCACAUCAUUGCCCGUGUUGUUUGAUCAAUUGACUUGUCUAAGAACAUUAGAUUUGAGUAACAGUUUGUUUGGAAAUUCAAUUGAAGAACUUCCUGAUCAAACAGGAAAUUUGGUUCAUUUGAGAUACCUUAACUUGAAACAAAAUAGAAAAUUGAAAAAAUUACCUGAAUCAGUAUGUGGGUUAUGUAACUUGCAAGCCUUAAACCUCACAUGGUGUGAUAGUCUUAAAGAAUUGCCGUUUGGAAUUGGAAAACUAAUCAACUUGAGGCAUCUUGAGAAUGAGCAAACAGAGUUGAGCUUGAGGGCAAUGCCAAAAGGAAUUGGGAGAUUAACAAACCUUCGGACGCUAAAGGUGUUCGUGGCAAUGGAUGGUGGAAUUAACAAAGAAGCAUCUACACUUGGUGAUCUUGGAAACUUAAUGCAUCUUCAAGGACAUCUUAAGAUAAGUGGACUGGGAGUUGUGUGUGAUGUGGCUGAAGCUAAGAAAGCAGAACUUCAAAACAAGAAAGGCCUCCGCAAUUUGAUACUAGAUUUUACUAAUUCCAAGGGGUUGAUGUCAGAGAGAAAAGAAGAUGAAAGACUUCUUGAAGCUUUACAGCCACCUCCUUGCUUGGAAAAAUUAGAGAUAUGGGGCUACAGUAGCCCCACCAUUGUCCCCAACUGGAUGAUGGGCUUGGCCAAGCUGAGGCAUCUUUCGCUGGGUUUUUGCUUUCAUUUGAACAUUUUGCCUCCUUUGGGGAAAUUGCCAUCCCUUGAAUCACUCUAUAUAGGGGAAAUGAGAAGUUUGGAAAAAGUGGGAAUUGAAUUUUUGGGUGUUGAAAAAGAAGAGAUAUCAGCAUUGUCUGCAUCGUCAGAGUCACCUUCAUCUAUUAUUGCCUUUCCUAGUUUAAAACAUCUCGAAUUUCGUGAUAUGGAAGAGUGGGGUUAUUGGAUCCCAUUAACAAGCAAAGAAGAAGAGCUUAUUAGUAUUAUGCCUCGGCUUUGUUCCCUAACAAUUGAUUCCUGCCCAAAGUUAAGUGCACUGCCAUGCUACAUUGUUAAGAAUACAAGUCUAAAGCAAUUGGACAUAAGUCAGAGUCCUAUUCUUUCAGAACGCUGCAGAAAGGAGACAGGGGAGGACUGGCUUAAAAUUUCUCAUAUCCCUAGUAUCAUAAUCGAUGGUCUAUGCGUGCAAGUAAACUGCUUUUCUACAGAAGAGUUUGGAGUAUUGCAAUUGCAGCCACUACACAGCUCUUUGUUAAGUUCUAAUGAUUUCCACAAAGCGUUUCAACAAGACUGAUGUGUAUCAGAGGAGAGGUGACUUGUUUCAAGGCGCCUUUAUAAUUAUUGAAAUACAUGCAAUGUCACUCGUUAAUGCAUAAUUAACCAUUGGUGUUUGAGCUAGCAUAUGAAGCUCAUAUGACAUGCUGGUCUAUACUUUUUGAUUUCAAAGCAUGUGAAGAGGAAAUUUCCCCAUAAAACUUUUGGGUGAUGCACGGAACAUAGACUAGGAACUGGAUAUUAAGUAACAUGGGAUGUCAAAGAAAGGGGACUAAAGCAGGUUGCGUCAGAUUUUGCUCGAUACUAGUGAAGAUUGAGAGAUCUCUUGGACAAGGUUAUCAAAGAAGACUUAUCCUACAUCGACAAGAUUAUCAAAAGAAGACUUAUCAUAUAUCGAUCCUUCAUUUCGAAAGGCUGUUGCUUCUCUAGUCAUCUGUCUCAUUUGUACUCUUAAUUUCCCAUCCCGAUUGCAACACUUUUAUUGCACAUAUUUCCUUUCUUUAAGUUAUAUUUGAUUAGUACAAAGGAGCAAAGUUAUAUAAAGCUCUUUGCUCUAAGAGGAUGAAGAGACGAGGAAACUUUCAAUUUGUCUAAUAUGUGUAAAAUACAAAAAUUAAUAUAUCAUA